This 451-nucleotide ribosomal RNA is filed under the name uncultured bacterium. RNAcentral describes it as "partial 16S ribosomal RNA". It matches the Rfam family "Bacterial small subunit ribosomal RNA", at positions 354 to 796 of the family's 1533-position model. The record is from RNAcentral.
GUGGGGAAUAUUGGACAAUGGGCGCAAGCCUGAUCCAGCCAUGCCGCGUGUGUGAAGAAGGCCUUUUGGUUGUAAAGCACUUUAAGCGAGGAGGAGGCUCCUUUAGUUAAUACCUAAAGUGAGUGGACGUUACUCGCAGAAUAAGCACCGGCUAACUCUGUGCCAGCAGCCGCGGUAAUACAGAGGGUGCGAGUGUUAAUCGGAUUUACUGGGCGUAAAGCGUGCGUAGGCGGCUUUUUAAGUCGGAUGUGAAAUCCCUGAGCUUAACUUAGGAAUUGCAUUCGAUACUGGAAAGCUAGAGUAUGGGAGAGGAUGGUAGAAUUCCAGGUGUAGCGGUGAAAUGCGUAGAGAUCUGGAGGAAUACCGAUGGCGAAGGCAGCCAUCUGGCCUAAUACUGACGCUGAGGUACGAAAGCAUGGGGAGCAAACAGGAUUAGAUACCCUGGUAGUCC